UACGUAGGGUGCGAGCGUUGUCCGGAAUUAUUGGGCGUAAAGAGCUCGUAGGCGGUUUGUCGCGUCGAAUGUGAAAACCCGGGGCUCAACUCCGGGCCUGCAUUCGAUACGGGCAGACUAGAGUUCGGUAGGGGAGACUGGAAUUCCUGGUGUAGCGGUGAAAUGCGCAGAUAUCAGGAGGAACACCGGUGGCGAAGGCGGGUCUCUGGGCAGUAACUGACGCUGAGGAGCGAAAGCGUGGGGAGCGAACAGG
RNAcentral lists this ribosomal RNA (253 nucleotides) under uncultured bacterium. Its description in RNAcentral is "partial 16S ribosomal RNA". It matches the Rfam family "Bacterial small subunit ribosomal RNA", at positions 524 to 776 of the family's 1533-position model. The record is from RNAcentral.